Long non-coding RNA from Maylandia zebra (zebra mbuna), 1284 nucleotides. RefSeq lists it as uncharacterized. The record is from RefSeq and is a predicted model, not a curated record. Lineage: Eukaryota; Metazoa; Chordata; Actinopteri; Cichliformes; Cichlidae.
GAGUGAUUUGCAGUUGAUCUCUGGCUCUUCUUAAGGCUGGGGCUCUGAGCUAUUCGUCGCUGGAAUAUUGAGUAACCCUCGUUUAUCUGGACCCGGCUGUUUUGACUCCUGGACCCCGUGAGUGUGAGUGGGUUGCUCGUGUGAGGAGUGCUUGGACAAGGAGCGGAGCAAGUGUGAAGAAGUGUGUUUCCCCGGCCUAUUGAUCCCCGGGACCCUGGUGUCAAAAUUUGUUUCAGUGCUACAACUUUACCGUCUUCCAAUUGGGAUCAAAAAGGCCAAGACGAGCUGCUUUUCAUGAAUAACUUGAUGAAACCUGAUACGUCACAUUGUUUGUUGUUGUUCUAAUUUGGCAUUGAACUUGGCAUCCUCCUGCAUGUCUGUGACUCACUGUUUGACACUAAACUAUCACGUUUCCAAAACAGCAGUGACUCUCCACAUGGCCGAUGAAAUAUUCAAUGAUGCUUGGGUUUCAGUUCUUCUCCGGCCUGAAUCCAGCAGCUUUCUCUCUGGCGUCCCGUGAGGCAGUGGCCACAAGAGCAUCAGCGUCCUCCGCAGUUUGGCCCUCGUCAGUCAGAAGCGGUCCCCUGAGAUCCAUUUAUAACCCCAACCCAGGACUCGCAGGGCAGCACAUAUUCUCCUGCACUUCUCUGCAAGUGUUAAAAGAGGGGUUCUUAAAAAUGGUGCAGCCAUGUAUGCCGGCUCAGAGCUUUAAAUGAGCUUUCAUCGAGAUGGGGGUCGACUUUUCUCUCCUUACAUCCAAAAGCACUCAGAACCAAGGCCAGCCACCUGCUGACAGGUCAGCUAUCCUCGAGGAUUUCUCCUGUGGUGAUGUGUGGCAUUCAGUGGAGAGCACCGAUCCACUGCCGGAGGUUGUGUAUCACAAACGACGAGAUUAUAAAUCAUAAGAUUAAAAAAAAAAGUUUAAAAACUGGUUUUCAGCAAUUUGAAAAAGAUUUGAAAAUAAGAUCAAAACUGGUGAAAACUAGAUGUGACAAAUUCAAAAUAAUGAUAUUCUUACAUAGACUGUAUAUAAAAGAUGGUUUUGGACUCCACAUUCUGAAUGGCCGUUGCCGUGUUGUUGAGUUUCAAAAUUAUUGACCAAAAUGUGUAAAAUUGCAAACAGUAAUAAUAGUACAGGUGUAUAUUCUGUAUACAUUUAUUCUCAAGGAAUUCCCAAAUUUUAUUUAUGAGUUUGAACUUAUUAAAUGAAGCUUAUGCGUAAGUUCAAUAAGGAAAAUCGAUGGUCUCCUAGGUGUUGCUGGCUGAAUCCAAGCUUCACAUCGC